Molecule: long non-coding RNA, 273 nt
Filed under: Gossypium barbadense (sea-island cotton)
Lineage: Eukaryota; Viridiplantae; Streptophyta; Magnoliopsida; Malvales; Malvaceae
Description: long non-coding RNA (GBAR_LNC022830)
Source: RNAcentral
AAAGAGAAAUUCCAUGGGUACAAGUAUGUUCAAGUUGGUACAAGUAUGUACAUAAACUCAUGAUUAAAGAUCUCAGUAUACUAUGAACAUGUGGUAAGAAUGCAUAUAAGAAAGUUAUGCUUAUGAGACUUGAUGACAUUUAUGAAACUUUGCCUUAUGUUAAUUGUAUGAUUUAUGUUGCUUAUUAUUGCAUGUGAACUUACUAAGCUUUAAAGCUUACCCUUUCUUUCCUUUCCUUUCCUUUUCUUAUACUGUCGCCAAGCUAGCUCGGGG